GAUGAAGAACGUAGCGAAAUGCGAUAAGUAAUGUGAAUUGCAGAAUUCCGUGAAUCAUCGAAUCUUUGAACGCACAUUGCGCCCUCUGGUAUUCCGAGGGGCAUGCCUGUUCGAGCGUCAUUAUAACCCCUCAAGCUCAGCUUGGUGUUGGGGCCUGCUGCACUGGCAGCCCUUAAAAUCAGUGGCGGCGCCAUCUGGCUCUAAGCGUAGUAAUUCUUCUCGCUAUGGAGUCCUGGUGGAUGCUUGCCAUCAACCCCCAAUUUUUCUAUGGUUGACCUCGGAUCAGGUAGGGAUACCCGCUGAACUUAAGCAUAUCAAUAAGCGGAGGA
This 329-nucleotide unclassified non-coding RNA is filed under the name soil metagenome. RNAcentral describes it as "partial contains 5.8S ribosomal RNA, internal transcribed spacer 2, and large subunit ribosomal RNA". The stretch from base 1 to 120 matches the Rfam family "5.8S ribosomal RNA", at positions 35 to 154 of the family's 154-position model. The record is from RNAcentral.